This 253-nucleotide ribosomal RNA is filed under the name uncultured bacterium. RNAcentral describes it as "partial 16S ribosomal RNA". It matches the Rfam family "Bacterial small subunit ribosomal RNA", at positions 524 to 776 of the family's 1533-position model. The record is from RNAcentral.
UACGUAGGGCGCAAGCGUUGUCCGGAAUUAUUGGGCGUAAAGAGCUCGUAGGCGGUUUGUCGCGUCUGCCGUGAAAGUCCGGGGCUCAACUCCGGAUCUGCGGUGGGUACGGGCAGACUAGAGUGAUGUAGGGGAGACUGGAAUUCCUGGUGUAGCGGUGAAAUGCGCAGAUAUCAGGAAGAACACCCGUGGCAAGGCGGCUCUCUAGGUACGGUACUGACGCUGAGACGCGAAAGCGUGGGGAGCAAACAGG